GAUCNGUGCUAGGAUGAACGCUAGCGGCAGGCUUAACACAUGCAAGUCGAGGGGCAGCAUAAUGGAUAGCAAUAUCUAUGGUGGCGACCGGCGCACGGGUGCGUAACGCGUAUGCAACCUACCUUUAACAGGGGGAUAACACUGAGAAAUUGGUACUAAUACCCCAUAAUAUCAUAGAAGGCAUCUUUUAUGGUUGAAAAUUCCGAUGGUUAGAGAUGGGCAUGCGUUGUAUUAG
RNAcentral lists this ribosomal RNA (235 nucleotides) under uncultured bacterium. RNAcentral's name for it is "partial 16S ribosomal RNA". It matches the Rfam family "Bacterial small subunit ribosomal RNA", at positions 26 to 244 of the family's 1533-position model. The record is from RNAcentral.